GGCCAGUGCUACUACAAUGGAAGUAACAAUUUAGUUUGAAGACAGGUCGAAUAUAUGCAAUAUAUAGAUUUUAAAUUCCUUCAGUGCUGCACACACCACACCAAAAUUAUAUAUUUGAUAAUUGAUGACGUACUUCCAAAACUAUUUGCGCACGGGGAGGCAAUAGAAGCAUUGGAACGAGAGGACAGGACACCAUGGUUACAGUUCGUCUGCCACUUUUCUAAUGCGGUAGCUAGUUUGAGAGGAUUACGGAGCUCGUGAAUGCUUUUCAUAAAUAACGGGAACAUUAACUAAAGAUACAACUUCAAGAACAUGGCCCAGAUAGAACAAUGAGACAGAUAUUCCACCGGAUGUAUAAAUGUGAAGCAUCCGGUUGACAUUUCCACUCACUACCAAAUAUGGUAGUGAGAGGACGCCCAGUGGCCGGCAGUGGGAGACGAUGGAACAAAAUGGAUUUUGGUCCACAUGCUGCGAAUUUACUCAUCGAUUAAACAUUUGAUCUUAAUUCAGUUUUCUGUUCCCAAAACUAUAAUCUGUUAUGAACAGAGUGGACUAAGUUUUUUUGUAUACUUUUUUGUAAACUACCAUUUGCCAAAGUAAAAAAAAAAAGUGUUGUUUAGAAGGCGUACAAAGGCGAAUUGAGCUAUUGCACACCGCACUUUACAGAGUAGGCGUUCCCUAACAGAAAUAUGCAAAUGAAUGCUAGAAUGCGCCAAUAGGAUCUCGCUAGCUUGUGCUUGGCUCUUCCCACCUCCUUGCUUGUUCUGCCCACUAUGGCUCAUUUGUUCCCAUUUGAAAUGGCAGGUUGUGGUCUAUCUUGGUUUAGUUAUAAAAAUCUUUGAUGAUGGUAUCCGGUUGCUAAGCAACUGUUUUUUGUUUGACGACAUGCUUUAGUCUGGACAACAUUUUUACUGAUGAGGUUACCUGUUUAAUAAUGGGUUACCUGUUUACCUGUUACCUGCUACCUCCUGGUAUUGUAUUUCACCUAAAGUGACAUGUACAGGGCAGGUUUCCUGUCACGUUUCUAAACAUUGACAAUAAACAGUAAAUUGGCACAUAUUUUCACCACUUUUCUACAAAAAAUGUGAAGGGUAUGGCAUCUUUAGGCAAUUUUCCAGACCCCCUCAAACAUUUUAAGCUAUCAUUGGGCUGUAGAGUGGAGCCCUCAAGAGUGGAGCAGCAUACUACUGAUAUGAACUUUAUCAACCAAGUUAAUUUCACCUGUUGACUCUCUCAAUGCCACACAUUUGUUACUAAUUAUCAAGACUGCUCUGAUAACCUUUAGUUUGUAUUUAAAUCUUGCCAAGCCAUUCCUCAGUUUAUAUCCAGUUGUGUGCAUCACAGUUAAGAGUACAUUUAUUUCCUAUUUUCCAUUUAUAGUUUAGUUGUCAUAACAUUAAGAUGUCAUGUAAUUUCCUUAUUUUCAUUACUUGAGAUGUAUCAUCCUUAUCACCUUUACCAUUUCCGUUAUGCAACCUGAUUAUAAUGUAUCUUCUUUGUUGCAGAACCACACACAAAUCCAACUUUACCAUGUCCAACCACAAGUCCUUAGUAAAUAUGUGAACUUUGGCACCGUGUCUGUUCUCUGAUUGCUCUCUGACCGGAGCCCCUAGUGACAUCUAUCCAACCAAUUAUCUAUCUUGGGUCUCUUAGCCUAUUUUCCAAUGGCCAUAUUGGAAAUCACUGCCAGGAGGGUAAUGGACAAAAUCUGCAAUCGCACUAUAGCCAAAAAUACUUAUUUAGACAUGCCAUUGCUGUGUGAAUUGGAUGGCUCUAUCACAAAUUCCAAAACAUUUUC
RNAcentral lists this long non-coding RNA (1798 nucleotides) under Salmo salar (Atlantic salmon). RNAcentral describes it as "lncRNA (ENSSSAG00000104622.1)". Lineage: Eukaryota; Metazoa; Chordata; Actinopteri; Salmoniformes; Salmonidae. The record is from RNAcentral.